Molecule: long non-coding RNA, 336 nt
Filed under: Carica papaya (papaya)
Lineage: Eukaryota; Viridiplantae; Streptophyta; Magnoliopsida; Brassicales; Caricaceae
Description: long non-coding RNA (CPAP_LNC005793)
Source: RNAcentral
CUUAUUUGGUGUGCGUUAUUGGUUUACGUAUUCAUGUUGAUUGGGUAAUUGAGACUAAGAAAAAUAAGGAUGGUAUGUGAAUUUAUGAACGGAUAAGUCGACAGCCUCACUAGAUAUCCUGGGAGAUGGUGGACGGACCAGGUCCAUAGGGAACCCUACCAGGAACGUGGUCUCUCAUAUCGGACGGGGUAUGGAGAUUUUAUGUGUUUUGGUGCCUAUACCGGACGGGGUAUGGGGACAGCCCGUUUCACCCUCAUACCGGACGAGGUAUUGAGGUUUAUGGUUUUGGCGCCCAUACCGAACGGGGUAUGGGGACGGCUCUGGAAUUAAGUUAUU